This is a long non-coding RNA of Panthera uncia (snow leopard), 729 nucleotides long. RefSeq lists it as uncharacterized. The record is from RefSeq and is a predicted model, not a curated record. The transcript is spliced from 3 exons. NCBI's taxonomy places the organism in Eukaryota, Metazoa, Chordata, Mammalia, Carnivora, Felidae.
CUUGGUCACUGAGCCCUGCGGGGGUGCUUCAGGGCAGGAAGGGGCAGCUGAAAAUGUUUAAGAGGGCAGUAAAGGUCCAAAAUGGAUUAGGUUAAACAUGAAGAGUGUAAGUAGAAGGCUGUGAAACCCACCUAAAGGAUGGACUACUGCCUAGUGCCCUAAGCUGUUUUUAGUCUUCCAAAUACUCACUACGGCCACAGUAGGGCUGGCCAGGAACAAACUCAAUGGCAUUCACCCAGUCUUCUGAACCUGCUCCUACACUUGCAAAGUUUGAAUUUCGUGAGUCGGCUUCGCCCGUAUUCAUUUCAACAACUGGUCCAACUACCGAUGAGAGACUUGAGGAAGCAGCAAGGGAUGAUUUUGCAGUUAGAUCUGCCACAGUCACUUCUUCCUGUUUCAGUGGCUUGCUAUGUUCAUAUCUAAAAGAAAAAUUUAAAGUCAGCAGUCACUGUCUCACCAGCAGCCCCAAAUGGGCACACUCUCCAGGACAUCUCUGGACUCAUCUCCUCUUGACAUUUCCUCUCUCCCUGGACAGAGUUUACAAGGAUCCUCAACAGACUGGCUAGGCAAAGAACCCAGCUCCCCUACAAUUAAUCGGCCUAGAACACCUGCAGAGACCAGCCCAUGAAGAAAUGCUUUUAUAUUUAGUAUGAUAGGGCUCUAGACACCCCCCCCCUUCAUACUGUGACUAAAAAGGAUAAAUAAACCUGGGGGGGGAGGGGUAUUUUU